CCUCUUUCGACCCCCCCGCGACACCCUCUUCGAUAGAGCUCCUAGCCGAACGCUCCGCCCCCUCUCUGCUGCCGGACGCUCGAUCUCCUCUGCCUCCCGAUCUACCUCCCUCACAACCUGACGCUUCUCUACCUCCGUUCCUCCGUUUCGAGCAUCCCUCUCUGCUGCUAAGUACGCGGACGAAGGCCCUACGAAGCGAGGAGAACUCUUGGACGCUUGUAGCCUCAAAGUACGCCAUCGUUCACCAAUCCCUGCCAGCUUCUCGUUGUUGAAAAUAAUUAACGCAUGUUCAUAGUCAUGCCGUUGUUCAUGCAAAAAUUUGACACUGCUGAUUGAAAAAACGGAGGCGAAAGCGAAAUAACAUAUGCGACAGAUGUCUUAUAAAUCCUGAGAUAUCUAAUGUAUACUGCAAUGCAAGGAUUAGAAGUUGCUUAUAAGAAGAUGGCAAUUGCUGGCGGCAUCACACCUCGUUCAGGUUUUGGUCCACUUUUGUUCAAGCCUUCCACUGUGUCAAUUCCAAUUUACCAGCUGUGGAAUACCAAUUCAUUUAACAUUGGACAAACUAUGAUAAAAUCAGUUUUGGGUUCUAAGCUCAUAUGUGCAUCAUUAAGAAGUAAUGACCAUCCUAGAUUAUCUUAUGGAGGUGAUUUUGACAAUGAACCAUUUUGGAAGACUAUGGUGAAGGAUAUUGCAUGGAGUUUGACAUCUGUAGCAGUAUUCUUAGCUGAACAGCCUAGUCAGAUAAAGUACAUAGAGUGGCCAACAUUUCAAAGCACGCUGAGGACAGCUAUGCUUACCCUUGUUCUUGUGGCUGUGCUCAUUGUUGCUCUAUCUUCUGUUGACUCGUGUCUCUCUUAUAUUUUGGCCUUGCUGCUCAGAAGAGCUGCCUAGUGACAGGUAUAGCAUCUUAUGUUAUGUCAAGCAUUAAACGAUACUAAGAAGAAUUCCAUCCAAACUGAAGUGGAUAGAGAAGAUGUAUAUGAAAAGGAAUCUUCAAAACCUCGAACUUACCUAAGAACGUUCUCUAAUUCCAAGUGGCAUCAAAAGGGUCAUGGAUCAGAUCAGAUCAAGCCACAUUUGGGCUCAAAUCAAGGGCUAAUCAAGUCGAUCAAGCCUUGGAGUGUUUUGGACUGUCCAUUGAAGAUUAAGCAGAUCUAGGCCAUCCGUUGAAGAUCUAGGCCAUCCGUUGAAGAUAUGGCCCAUCCAACCUAAUGAGGAGCAGAUCUGGACCAUAGAUGAAGAUCAGUACUAUUGGAUCGGAUUUAGACUGUUUUCCACCGUUGAUCAAGCUCCGAGAAAUCUCAGUCGUCCGAUCAGAGAAGGGAGGAUUUAAAACCCGCGUGAGAAGCUACAGUGCUCGGGCUCGGCUUCCUCGCGAUUUCUUCACUAUUCACGUUCUUCUCCGCCGCGACGCCGAUGCUCCCGUUCCUCAAAACCAGAUCCGAGAGCUAACUUCUUCAACGACGACAAUCUCCAGCUGCCGGCGUUCAUCUUCCGAUGAUUAGAGAGUGCUGGAGGGAGGUUUCUCGACCCGUCUUGGUUCUAUUCAUCGCCGCGAUCCUGUGCAAGGGAGGUUUCUUGUUCAGUGAUUUUCACAUCCAACUGAGCUCAGAGGGAGGUUUCUUUGAGUCUUAGAUCUCAUUCCGACUUCCAUUCCAUAUCAUAACUUGGAUGAAUUGGCCAUUUGAUCCGGUUUGCAAAAUUCACAGAGUCAAGCUCUGUUUUCUUCGGCUGGUGAGAUUAUCAGAAGGAUGGGAGUUAGAGGGGAGGUUUCCAAAGACUAUGAGCACCUACUGGUAAUAGUUGGAGGUUAGAGAUUAGUUGUUGAAAGCUUGAGGGGAGGUUUCCGAUGACAUUUUUGUUGUACAACAGAUUGAUGAGAUUUGUUCCGGAUUUGGAUUGAAGAAUGCUAGAGUUUCUGUUUUCUUUUGAAUGUUAAUGAAUUUGUAGAGCUGUCAAACGGGCCAACCCAUGGCGAGGCGGGUCGGCUCGUGGCGGGCCCACCAUUUGGCGGGCCGGGGCGGGGCGGGUUGUCAACUUGGCGGGUUAGGAAAUUUUUAACCCAACCCAAUCCAAGGCGGGUCGCGGGUUUGGCGGGCCAACCCGCGGGCCUAUCAAUUUUUUUAAAAAAAAUUUAAAAAUAAGAGUUCAUAUCUUCAAUGUUUUACUUCGGAAAUAUUUUAUCAAUCAAAUGUAUUCAUAAACAAGUAUUUUAAAUAUAAAUGGACAUAAACAAGUACUUAUGUUGGGUCAAAAGUACUAUUUUUAUUUUAAAAUUAUAACAAAGAAAGAUAAUAAACUGCCAUAAAAUUGUGCAACGAAAAGGAAUAGUAAUUAUGACUCCUGGUUGUGCGUCGAGCAGUUUAGGUCAGUGAUACCCUAGCUGUAUCUAUGUAAACGAAUCAAAUAAGCAGGUCAUUUACUUUUAAGAAGGCCAUCUAGUUUGGGUACACACACCAAACUCUUCAUUGUGCAUAAUGUAUGUUUCAGAUUUAUCCCAUAAACGAAUCAAAUAAGAAGGUCAUCUACUUUUAAGAUUAAUCGACUUUGUGUGCAUAUAUAUUUCUGUAACUUUUGUCUAUCACACUCAACUUCACAAAUAUGGGCUUUUCCUAAUUAAUAUUCCUCUCAACGAAGAAGAUAAUGAAAUGCUAUAAUUUAACCCCUGGUACUCUCAUAGUUGCAGCAUUGACUACUGAUAUAAACUGCUUACAUGUGAUUCUCAACCCGCAGGCCAACCCAAGCCCAUCGCGGGCCGACCCGCGCGGGUCGCGGGCCUAGGCGGGUCGGCCCACGGCGGACUUGGGUUGAUAAAAUUCCAACCCAACCCGCUUAAUUGGUUUGGCGGGACGGGCCAACCCGACGGGCCUAAUCCAAAUUUACGGCUCUAUGAAUUUGCCAUGUCGUUGAUCAGAUCUGAAGAUCUGAUCUCUUGUCUUUACCAUUCUAUUCUUGCUUGAAUUUCUGCAAUUCUGUUUGUGAUUUCUUUCUUACAACCCUGACCUUAGAUCUAGUUUCUGUUGAAUUCUGCUACUGAUACUGAUAGUUGUAGGUUUUUGUGAUUUAGUUAGUAAUUUUUUGCUCUGAUUUUGGUUUUUGUACUUGUGAUCUUGCUUAAAUGAAGAUUGAUCAACUUUAGUUUUGAUUGUUACCUCUGUUUAAUAUGAUUUUGUUUGAACCUAUGAGUUUAAUUGUUGAGUAAAUUUGUGUUGUGAAUUGAAGAGUUGAUGAAUGAUUUUUUUGAUUCAAUGGUGCAUUUAAAUCCGAGUUUAAUUGAAACUAACUUAGUGAGAAAGAAAUUAGAUCAUGCUUAGACCUUAUUGAUGUUAUAGCUUUACUUGAAUCAAUUCUAGAGUAUUCACAUAUUAAUUAGUUGCCCUUGGAAAAAAAUACGACUUGGGACUCCUUACUACACGUGUUAUUUUAGUUAAUGUGAGUUUCAAUUUUAAUUAAUUUUGAGCGCCUCGUGACAUGCAAAAUGGCCGACACCAAAUUUUGGCGUCGUUGCCGGGGAAAUAACUAGUAGUAUGUGUUUAUUUUAGAUUGUGCAUUGAUUGGUUUAUUUUGUUAACAUGUUGAUUGGUUUGAUUACUUAUUUAUUUUUAUAUCAUGUUGAUUUGUUCUUGAAUUUUUAAGUGCUUUUACUGUUUAUGUUUUCGUGUGUAUGAAACUUUAUGCUCUUGAAUCUUCUAAUUUUGAGUUCUAGUGUUGUAGUGAAGGACAAGAGAUUUCUUUAGCAUGGAUCCAUAUUUUCAGAAUUUUAAAGGUGGAAUGGAGAGUUAUCAUUU
Molecule: RNA transcript, 3788 nt
Organism: Zingiber officinale
Lineage: Eukaryota; Viridiplantae; Streptophyta; Magnoliopsida; Zingiberales; Zingiberaceae
Exons: 9
Source: RefSeq, a predicted model, not a curated record